UAUAUUUUCAUAUUCCAGGUAUUCCUCAUAAAACAUGUUUGUGACAUGAGGCCAUUGCAUUUUUAAAAAAAAAUUUCAUACAUUUUAAGAAAUUGCAGCUUUUGUAUCACUACCCCACUUUUCCAUGAGCGGGGUCAAAAAUGACCCCAAACAUUUCCUAUGGAAUCUCAGGGCUUAACUCUAGGAACCUUUGAUACUUAUCAACUGUGAUUGUCAGUAUACAUUUACUGUUGCACUUACACAUCUGAUGCUGCAGUCUCACCACCCAGGAGGUCAUUUUUACACAGCAACAUAGUAUCAUGGCUGCUAGGAGGCCAACCAGGAUUCCUGAGGCACUUGCACUACAAAUGAUCCUGGACGGAUGGGAUGAAGAGCCUAGUAUUGCAGUAUUCCUGUGUGCAACGAUCACAGCCAGAAGCAAGUAGUUUAUAACAGCUGCACACAGUGAGAAGAGAGAAGACGUUUGUGUGUGUACAUGUCGGUGGACGGUGUUAUGGUCCCCGGACCUACUGUUUGUUCAUUCUCUGUUCGUCCUCCACAGUCAAACAGACAAACGGACACACAAUGUAUUUUGACAUUUUUUGAUUUUUGAUUGAUUGUUUUGUAAUGAAAUGUGAAUAAAAAGUAAUAAAUGAACAUGUCAAAAAUGAAA
Molecule: long non-coding RNA, 652 nt
Organism: Notolabrus celidotus (New Zealand spotty)
Lineage: Eukaryota; Metazoa; Chordata; Actinopteri; Labriformes; Labridae
Exons: 2
Source: RefSeq, a predicted model, not a curated record